This 2709-nucleotide long non-coding RNA is filed under the name Pongo abelii (Sumatran orangutan). Its description in RNAcentral is "lincRNA". Lineage: Eukaryota; Metazoa; Chordata; Mammalia; Primates; Hominidae. The record is from RNAcentral.
UAUCCCCGCCCAAAUCUCAUGUUGAAUUGUAAUCCCCAAUGCUGGAGGUAGGGCCUGGUGGGAGGUAUUCGGAUCACGGGGACAGAUCCCUCAUGAAUGGCUUGGGCCAUCCGUUUGGUGAGAAGUGAGAGAUCUGAUGGUUUAAAAGAGGGUGGCCCCUUCCCCUCACUCUCUCUCUUGCUCCUGCUUUUGCUGUUGACAUGCCUGCUCCCCCUUUGCCUUCCGCCAUGAUUGGAAGCUUCCUGAGACCUCCCCAGAAGCAAAUGCUGCUAUGCUUCCUAUAUAGCCUGCAGAACGGUAAGCCAAUAAAACCUCCUUCCAGGAUGCAGUGAGCUGAGAUCACGCCACUGCACUCCAGCCUGGGCGACAGAGUGAAACUCCGUCUCAAAAAACAAAACAAAACAAAACAAACAAACAAGCAAACAAAAAUUACCCAGUCUCAGGUAUUUCUUUUGUUGUUGUUGUUUUUGGUUGUUUGGUUGGUUUUGGAGCAUGGUCUGACGCCUGGGCUGGAGUGCAAUGGUGGAAUCAUGGUUCACUGCAAUCUCGACUUCCAGCCUCAGGUGAUCCUCUUGCCUCAGCCUCUUAAGUAGCUGAGACUACAGGUGCACACCACCAUGCCCAGCUAAUUUUUAUUUUUCUUGUAGAGACAGGGUUUACCAUGUUGCCCAGGCUGGUCUUGAGAACUCCUGGGCUCAAGUGGUCCACCUGCCUUGGCUUCCCAAAGUGCUGGGAUUACAGGCAUGAGCCAUCGUGUCUGGCCCAAUCUCUGUGUCAUCAUUGUCAUAUGGUGUUCUUUCUGUGUGUCUCUGUCUAGACAUGGCCAUCUUCUUACAAGGACAUUAGUCUUAUUGGAUUAGGAGCCCACUCUGCGUCAGUAGAACGGCCUAACACACAUGCUUAACCUACUAAUAAUGACAAAAACACCUACCUCUAUCUACAGUCAUGUGAUUUACCUGUUUGCCUGUUUAUUCCCUGCCCCCACCCCCACCCUGCCAGAACAGCUGUAGGAGAUGGGAGACUGUUCCUGUGGCUCUUGCCAUCUCCUCUGCACCUAACCCGGUGGCGAGCACAGAGAGGGGCUCUGAAAUUAUUUCCUGAAUGAAUGGGUAAAUGAAUGAAUGACGAAGUAAAUACAUGAUAAUAGCAAUCCUUGAUGAGUGCCUGCCUGAUGCAAGCACUGUAAAUAAUUUUCUUUUUUCUCUUUUUUUUUUUUUUUUUGAGACAAAGUCUCACUCUGUUGGCCAGGCUGGAGUGCAAUGGUGCAAUCUCAGCUCACUGCAACCUCCACCUCACAGGUUCAAGCAAUUCUUGUGCCUCAGCCUCCUGAGUAGCUGGAAUUACAGGCAUGCACCACCACACCCCGCUAAUUUUUGUACUUUUUGUAGAGACAGGGUUUCACCGUGUUGGCCAGGCUGGUCUCAAACUCCUGACCUCAAGCGAUCCAGCCACCUCGGCCUCCCAAAGUGCUGGGAUGACAGGCGUGAGCCACCACGUCCAGCCUGUACAUGAUUUCCUGUCCUCCUUCAGCCUUGCCUCCAGGGAGGGAUGGUUUCCUGGUUUUCCAGAGGUUAGAAAACUUGCUUGAAGUUCCAGAAUCACUAAGGGCAGAAUCCCAUUUCAAACUCAGCCCUUCUGAACUCCUGGGCUCAAGCCAUCCUCCCACCACACCUGGCUUAUUUUAAAAUGUUUUGUAGAGACUGGGUCUUGCUACAUUGCCCGGGCUAGUCUCGAACUCCUGACCUGAAGCGAUCCUCCCACCUAAGCCUUCUAAAGCUCUGGGAUGACAGGCGUGAGCCACAGCACACGACCUUUUUUUUUUUUUAUUUUUGUAUCAAGCUCUUUACUCCCGAGCGCACUCUUAGCCACUCUUAGCCUGCAGGGAAUCCACCCACGCUUUUUCCUUUCUUGAGAUAAGACAAGAGUGUUUUCCCAAAGGGCCUUGAGCACCAGAGAGCAGAACUCCAAGCUGCUGUGCUGGGCGUGGACCAGGCCCCGCAUGGAGCCCACACAGAGCCUCUGACUUAGGCUGGGGGUUCUCAUCCCAUUUCCGUGGCCUGGGAACUCAGGGGGAAAGAGCAAUUAAAUUAGAGGGGUCAAAGAAGGAGGAGGAGGGUGGGGAGCUGGUGGCCAGACCCAGAAAGGCCAGAUUUCAAUUUGCAUAAUAAUUUUGUUAGCAACAAUGGUCAUCCAGGACAUCUCUUUAAAGGCUGUAAUGUUAAUUUAAUGGGAAAAAAGCUAAUACAAUUCCCCCAGAAUUUUUCAAUUAAAUUAAUGUGAUGGGCUUUAAUGGAUAGCUUAAGUAGAGAGUGUGAAUAGGAGAAAUAUUGCAUAAAUUAUCCAUACAUUUAUAUAUGUGCUGCCCGUAUAUAUAAUCUCUCCGCUCUAAGGUUUUGACAUGUGAGAGGUCUUAUGCUUAAAUCUGGCAACAAGUUAUAACUCUAUUUCAAUUAAAGUGACCCUUUUAUCAUUCAAAGAAGGGGGGGAUGCUCCUUCCCAUGGAGCUUCCACACAGCCCUUCCCUUCAACAACACACCAGAAGAUUCCAGUCUUAAAGAAACAGAAGGCUCGUGUAACAAUAACCCAUGAGAACACACAUGUGCACAUAAAGUCGAUGACAUGAGAAAUCUGUAGAUGCAGAAUCUCGUUCCCUGCUCUCUGCUCCCCAAAGACACCUGAUGGAGCAGAAAAUAAAAUGGGUUAAAUUUC